UUUAAAUCAGAGUCUAUCCAGGUCUGAUCUACAUUAUAAAGAUAGGUUGGCUCUCACUGAAAAACAUUCUCAGCUUCAGGAACAGCUUAGAAGUAUGACUAGACCAACUUCCUUGAGCAAAGAAUCUUUGGAACCUGGGCAUUUUGGAAAUGUGAGAAGAACAUCUAGAGACAAGCUUGAGUUGGCACCGUAUCCUAUUGAUG
Molecule: unclassified non-coding RNA, 203 nt
Filed under: Hevea brasiliensis (rubber tree)
Lineage: Eukaryota; Viridiplantae; Streptophyta; Magnoliopsida; Malpighiales; Euphorbiaceae
Source: RNAcentral